UCGGGAAUUUUGGGCAAUGGGCGAAAGCCUGACCCAGCAACGCCGCGUGAGGGAUGAAGUAUUUCGGUAUGUAAACCUCGAAAGAAUGGGAAGAAUAAAUGACGGUACCAUUUAUAAGCUCCGGCUAACUACGUGCCAGCAGCCGCGGUAAUACGUAGGGAGCAAGCGUUGUUCGGAUUUACUGGGCGUAAAGGGCGCGUAGGCGGCGCGGUAAGUCACUUGUGAAAUCUCUGAGCUUAACUCAGAACGGCCAAGUGAUACUGCUGUGCUAGAGUGCGGAAGAGGCAACCGGAAUUCUUGGUGUAGCGGUGAAAUGCGUAGAUAUCAAGAGGAACACCUGAGGCGAAGGCGGGUUGCUGGGCCGACACUGACGCUGAUGCGCGAAAGCCAGGGAAGCAAACG
RNAcentral lists this ribosomal RNA (402 nucleotides) under uncultured bacterium. Its description in RNAcentral is "bacterial SSU rRNA". It matches the Rfam family "Bacterial small subunit ribosomal RNA", at positions 355 to 774 of the family's 1533-position model. The record is from RNAcentral.